AUUGAACGCUGGCGGCAUGCCUUACACAUGCAAGUCGAACGGCAGCACGGGAGCUUGCUCCUGGUGGCGAGUGGCGAACGGGUGAGUAAUACAUCGGAACGUACCCAGGAGUGGGGGAUAACGUAGCGAAAGUUACGCUAAUACCGCAUAUUCUGUGAGCAGGAAAGCGGGGGAUCGCAAGACCUCGCGCUAUUGGAUCGGCCGAUGUCGGAUUAGCUAGUUGGUGAGGUAAAAGCUCACCAAGGCGACGAGCCUUAGCAGGUCUGAGAGGAUGAUCUGCCACACUGGGACUGAGACACGGCCCAGACUCCUACGGGAGGAGGCAGUGGGGAAUUUUGAACAAUGGGGGCAACCCUGAUCCAGCCAUGCCGCGUGAGUGAAGAAGGCCUUCGGGUUGUAAAGCUCUUCCGGCGGGGAAGAAAUGGCAACGGCUAAUAUCCGUUGUUGAUGACGGUACCCGCAUAAGAAGCACCGGCUAACUACGUGCCAGCAGCCGCCGUAA
Molecule: ribosomal RNA, 502 nt
Filed under: uncultured bacterium
Lineage: Bacteria
Description: partial 16S ribosomal RNA
Rfam family: Bacterial small subunit ribosomal RNA
Source: RNAcentral